Molecule: ribosomal RNA, 460 nt
Filed under: uncultured bacterium
Lineage: Bacteria
Description: partial 16S ribosomal RNA
Rfam family: Bacterial small subunit ribosomal RNA
Source: RNAcentral
CCUACGGGAGGCUGCAGUGAGGAAUAUUGGUCAAUGGGCGGAAGCCUGAACCAGCCAAGUCGCGUGAGGGAAUAAGGCCCUACGGGUCGUAAACCUCUUUUGCCGGGGAGCAAGGGCGGGGACGUGUCCCGGCCCGGAGAGUACCCGGAGAGAAAGCAUCGGCUGACUCCGUGCCAGCAGCCGCGGGAAUACGGAGGAUGCGAGCGUUAUCCGGAUUGAUUGGGGUUAAAGGGUGCGUAGGCGGGCUUUUAAGGAAGCGGGAAAAAUUCGGGGCUCAACCCCGUCCGGCCGUUGAAACUGGGGCCCUUGAGUGGGCGAGAAGAAGGCGGAAUGCGUGGUGUAGCGGUGGAAUGCAUAGAUAUCACGCAGAACCCCGAUUGCGAAGGCAGCCUUCCGGCGCCCUACUGACGCUGAGGCACGAAAGUGCGGGGAUCGAACAGGAUUAGAUACCCGUGUAGUC